AAGACCUUGCACUUUUGGAGCGGCCGAUGUCUGAUUAGCUAGUUGGUGGGGUAAUGGCCUACCAAAGCUUCGAUCAGUAGCUGGUCUGAGAGGACGGCCAGCCACACUGGGACUGAGACACGGCCCAGACUCCUACGGGAGGCAGCAGUGGGGAAUUUUGGACAAUGGGCGCAAGCCUGAUCCAGCCAUGCCGCGUGAGUGAAGAAGGCCUUCGGGUUGUAAAGCUCUUUCAGCCGGGAAGAAAAGGUUGCGACUAAUAAUCGCAAUUCAUGACGGUACCGAAAGAAGAAGCACCGGCUAACUACGUGCCAGCAGCCGCGGUAAUACGUAGGGUGCGAGCGUUAAUCGGAAUUACUGGGCGUAAAGGGUGCGCAGGCGGUUUUGUAAGUCGGAUGUGAAAUCCCCGGGCUUAACCUGGGAACU
RNAcentral lists this ribosomal RNA (423 nucleotides) under uncultured bacterium. RNAcentral describes it as "bacterial SSU rRNA". It matches the Rfam family "Bacterial small subunit ribosomal RNA", at positions 207 to 622 of the family's 1533-position model. The record is from RNAcentral.